Molecule: long non-coding RNA, 1323 nt
Filed under: Canis lupus familiaris (dog)
Lineage: Eukaryota; Metazoa; Chordata; Mammalia; Carnivora; Canidae
Description: lncRNA (ENSCAFG00030002610.1)
Source: RNAcentral
AUGUGUGUGUGUGGGGGGACCAGUUACAGUGACCCCCUAGAGGGACCCCCCCAUUCUGGUCAUCUCUGGACUUCCCAAAGGGGGGGGUCUAGUGGCAGCAUAGGGGAAAGAGGAAGCGAGUUGGGGUCUCCACCCCCAACUUCUAAUGUGAGCAGUGUGCUCAGGUGUUGGGGGCCCCGGGACAGAGGCAUGGAGACACCCGACGGCUUGACGGGUCCAGAGUGCACCAGGUGCAGGCUGCAGGGAGGUGAGUGUGGGCAGGGGCGCAGCACCCGAGCACCGAGCACCCGUGUCCGGGCGCAGGGCUGCAGAGAACACGCCCCCCCAGUUGGACGGGAGGGCGGGCUGGAGGCGGAGGCUCCCCCGCGGGCUGAGCCGGCGGCCAGGCUGACUUCACAGGCGCCCUUCCUCCCCCUUCCUCCUCCCAGCGCAGCUGCGGGCCCGGGGACCAGGGUGCGACCUCAGCCCCGCCGCACGCCAGCUGGCACGCAGCCCCGCCGGCACCGGAGCCCCGACAGCGCAGCGGCUCCAUCACCCCGAGCCCCACCUCCCGCGACGGGGCCCUGGAACCUGAUGCCCAAGACUCUGGAUGUUGCCUCACUCUCCAUUGGGUCCUCCAGCCAAGGUCCCCACCCUUGCCCUUUCCCAGUCCCCCCCCCCAACUUCCUAAAGCCCCUCCCCUGCCUGCCUGCAAGUCACCUGACUGGGCACCCGAGCCGCCCCACCCAGAUUCCUCACCCAGCUUGCCCAGCUCCCAAAGUGCUUGAGGAGCCGGGCUCCUUGACAGCUCCAGGGCAGUCCCUGGGCUGCACAGCCCGCCUGGUCCCAGCCACACACUCCAGCUGCCACUCGGGCAUGGUGCUUACGGAGACGUGCACAUGCACGCGUGCGCACGCACACACACAUGUGCACAUGCACACGAUGCACACAGUGCACGCACACAGGUGCAGCGCGCACGAGAGAGUAAAUAUGCAUAUGCACGUGCACAAUUGCAUGUGCACAAUCACGUGUGCAUGCGCACACACACGCGUGCGUGCACUCCUGCACCGUUCCGUGGGUGCUGAGCCGGUGAUCCUCCCUCACAGGCCGCCGCGGUGCUCCUUUGGCCCUCCCUCCAGUACCUGCCUGGAGACCUGCACUCGUUGGCUCCCCCCGGCUCUCCCCCACCUGUCAGGACGGGGUUACCUGCCUGCUUCCAAGAACUGGCACCUGAGGCUUCCGUCCAUUGUCUACGGCCAAGAUCAAAACCAAACCAAACCAGUCCCCUGCUCCUGUCUGAAAUUGGUGAAUGGUUGGCGGGGAGGGGGACAUCCCCACCCGUGA